GAUGAACGCUGGCGGCGUGCUUAACACAUGCAAGUCGAACGAUGAAGCCCAGCUUGCUGGGUGGUUUCGUUGCGAACGGGUGAGUAACACGUGAGUAAACUGCCCUUAACUCUGGCAUAAGCCUGGGAAACUGGGUCUAAUACCGGCUAGGAGCUUCCACCGCAUGGUGGGUGUUGGAAAGAUUUAUCGGUUUUGGAUGGACUCGCGGCCUAUCCGCUUGUUGGUGAGGUAAUGGUUGACGAAGGCGAUGCCGGGUCGCCGGCCUGUGAGGGUGACCGGCCACACUGGGACUGAGGCACGGACCAGACGGCAACGGGAGGCAGCAGUGGGGAAUAUUACAGAAUGGGCGCAAGCCUGAGACAGCGGUGCCGCGUGAGGGAUAACGGCCUUCGGGUUGUAAACCACUUUCAAUAGAGAAGAAGCGAAAGUGACGGUACCUGCAGAAGAAGCACCGGCUAACUACGUG
Molecule: ribosomal RNA, 466 nt
Filed under: uncultured bacterium
Lineage: Bacteria
Description: partial 16S ribosomal RNA
Rfam family: Bacterial small subunit ribosomal RNA
Source: RNAcentral